CAAUAGCGUAUAUUUAAGGUGUUGCAGUUAAAAAGCUCGUAGUCGGAUUUUGGCUGAGAACGAUCGGUCCGCCGUUAGGUGUGCACUGAUUGGUCUCAGCUUCCUGGUGAGGAGGUGUGCUUCACGGCCACUUAGUCACCGUGGUUACUUUGAAAAAAUUAGAGUGUUCAAAGCGGGCUUACGCUUGAAUAUAUUAGCAUGGAAUAACACCAUAGGACUCCUGUCCUAUUUCGUUGGUCUCGGGACGGGAGUAAUGAUUAAGAGGAACAGUUGGGGGCAUUCGUAUUUCAUUGUCAGAGGUGAAAUUCUUGGAUUUAUGAAAGACGAACUUCUGCGAAAGCAUUUGCCAAGGAUGUUUUCAUUGA
RNAcentral lists this ribosomal RNA (365 nucleotides) under uncultured eukaryote. RNAcentral describes it as "partial 18S ribosomal RNA". It matches the Rfam family "Eukaryotic small subunit ribosomal RNA", at positions 592 to 976 of the family's 1831-position model. The record is from RNAcentral.